Long non-coding RNA from Homo sapiens (human), 6031 nucleotides. RefSeq lists it as uncharacterized. Lineage: Eukaryota; Metazoa; Chordata; Mammalia; Primates; Hominidae. The transcript is spliced from 3 exons. The record is from RefSeq and is a predicted model, not a curated record.
CUCCUGGGCUCAAGCAAUCUUCCCAUCUUGGCCUCCCAAAGUGCUGGGAUUACAGGUGUGAGCCAUUGUGUCUGGACUCCUCCAGGUCUUUUUGCAGCUUGUUAGCUUUUUUUUUUUUUUUUUUUUUUCAAUAAAUGCCCGUGCUUAUUACAAGAUAGAAACAUGAAGAAUUCCUUAGGUACUGUUUUUUUUUUUUUUUUUUUUUUUGAGACAGAGUCUAACCCUGUCACCCAGGCUGGAGUGCAGUGGUGUGAUCUCUGCUCACUGCAACCUCUGCCUCCCGGGUUCAAGCGAUUCUCCCGCCUCAGCCUCCUGAGUAGCUGGGAUUACAGAUGUGUGCCACCACACCCAGCUAAUUUAUUUAUUUAUUUAUUUUGAGUUUUUUAUUUUUGUUUGUUUGUUUAAGAUGGGGCCUUGCCCUGUCACCCAGGCUGGCGUACAGUGGCGUGAACGUGGCUUACUGCAGCCUCAACCUCCCAAACUCAAGCAAUCCUCCCAUGUCAUCCUCCUGAGUAGCUGGUACUACAGGCACAAAUUCCUCGGCUCAAGCAAUCCUCCCACCUUGGCCUCCCAAAGUGCUGGGAUUACAGGUAUGAGCCACCACGCCCAGCCAGCUCAUUUCUUUUUAUCACUGAAUAAUGUUCCAUUGUAUGGAUGUACCAUAGUUUUAUCUAAUCCACCUAUUGAAGGACAUCUUGACUCCAGUCUCUGAUAACUAUGAAUAGAGCUGCUGUAAACAUUCAUGCCCAGGUUUUGAGUGGGUGUAAGUUUUCAGCUCAUUGGGGUAAAUGCCUAGGAGUGCAAUUGCUGGGCCAUAUGGUAGACCUAUGGUUAGCCUUGUAGAAACUGCCAGUCUGCUUUUGCAUUCUCACCAGCAAUGAAGGGGAGUCACUGUUCCACAUCGUCUCCAGCACUGAGUGUUGUCAGUGUCUCGGGUGUGCUGUGCUUUUAAACUAUUUUCUUUUUAAAGCCGGGCAGAUUGGAAAGUAUGCAUCAUUUUUGUUGCCCACAAGAAGCUUGUUUUGAACUGUUUUAUGUUCACAGUUUGGGAUUUUUCGGGCAAUAUUGCUGAGCUUUAACAGGAACUUUGCAGUCCUGUCAACCUGAAUUUGAGCCCUUCAUUUGCAAGUAACCUUGCCGUGUGACUAUGAGCAAGGUACGUAACCUCUCCAUUGUUCAGUUUCUUUAUCUGUAAAAUGCAGAUUAUGCCCAGCUCAUAGCACUGGUGUGAGGAAUAAAUGAAGAUGUAGAUCACUUUUACAUGGUAUGUGACACUUGGUAGGCACCAAAUCAUUAUUGCUGGGAGGAUCAGUAUGUUCUUGCUUGUCUACACACACACAUACACACACACACACACGAGAGAGAGAGAGAGAGAAAUUGCAAAGAUAGUACAAAGAGUUCCCAUAUACCUGUACCCAGCUUCCCCUAUUAUUAACAUGUUAGUAUAGUGCAUUUGUUAAAAUUCAUGAACCAAUAUUGAGAUGUUAUUAACCCAAGUCUGUACUUCAUUCAGAUUUCUCUGGGUUUUUCCUAAUGUUCUUUCCUGUUCCAGGGUCCCAUCCGGGACACCACAUUCCAUUUCGUCAUCAUGUCUCCCUAGGUGCUCUCCCUGGCUGGGUCGUUCAAUCAGUUGCUUUUAAUUGCAUUUAAAUUUAAUUUUGGUGCAGACAGUGAGAUCUGUUACAGAAUUCUUAGGUUAAAACUUAGUCACAAUGGCUGGGUGCAGUGGCUCACGCCUGUAAUUGAAACACUUUGAGAGGUCGAGGCAGGCUGAUCACUGGAGGCCAGGUGUUCAAGACCAGCUUGGGCAACAUAGUCCCCCGUCUCUACUAAAAACACAAAAAAAUUAGCCAGGCAUGGUGGCACGCACCUGUAAUCCCAGCUACUCUGGAGGCCGAAGCAUGAGAAUCUCUGGAACCUGGGAGGCGGAGGUUUCAGUGAGCCAAGAUCAUGCCACUGCACUCCAUUCUGGACGACAGAGCCAGACUCUGUCUCAAAAACAAAAAACAAAAAAAGCAAACCUUGUUCACAAAAUUAUUAUGGGGCACCCAGUAGUAGCCCCUGAGCUGGAUGUGUGGUAGACUCCCCAGAUGUUAACCUGAAGUCUGCCCUACUGUGGCGAAACCUGCUUGUGUGCUAGAAAAAAGACCCAAGCUGCCGAAAACCACCUGUACCGUAUCCUGCCCCAUUUGUCCUCACCCAACUUCUGGUAAGUAGUGUCCAUUGAAAAAUGCUAGUUGGGCUGACAUGGUGGCCUGAGCAAUAAUGCAUCUCAGGAGUCUGUUGGCGGGGUGGAGGUAGGAAAAGGAGGGCACUGUGUGUUUUUCCUGACAGUCCCCUCAGAAAUGCUGGUGGCUUGGUGCUGGAAGGGUGUUGCCUCACCAUGUUAGCUGAGCUGUGUGGUUUCUUUGAAUGUUAACAACUUUCACUGUUUCGGCUUGAGUUUCCUCCCUGACAUCACCAGAUGAAAACAUAUGUCAGAGGUUUUGGGUUUCUGGUGCCAAAUCCAAGAUGGCUUAUCAGCAAGCGCCCCCCGCCAGACAGUGGAGGCUGUGCUGGGGCAGAGCUGCUUCCCCUUUGACAUUGGCUUUUUUCUAAAACCGAAAAUAAGCAACCGUGGCUGUGACUUCACUUUUCUUGGAACUGCUUUACAUUACCCCCCAAAUGGAGAAAACCCUCAUUUAGCAGCUUUUGGAUUGCCAAGUUCUCUAAUUCUUUCUGUUGCAUAUUCUUGUAAUGCUCAAGUUUUACUGACAAAGUCUUCUGCAUCAGGUGAAGCAGGAGGAGGAAGGAAUGACCAUGUGAAGUAACUGAGCGCUUUGUUGCCUGGCCUGUGGGUGUGUGGUUUCAUGGUUGAGGAGAAAAAGCACCUGGAAGACACAGUGUGUGUAGAAUGCCUUCCAGUUCCAAGGGUGACAACCCUGCGAUCUGCUGGCCAGCAGAUGGGCUAGGGCUGCUGUUGCUAAACAUCAGGCUACAGCCGAAACUUACAGAGCAGCUGCCUGCUUCAAGGACAAGGGGAAAAAUGCAUUUUCAGUCAUAAUGACCUACAUUUAGCAGAUAUUUCGGAGCCCGUGCGAAAGGACAUCUUCAAAGGGCCUCUUCCUCCUUGUGAUAAGGGAGACAGUGAUGUUAGUCAAACGUGGGGCCCAGUCCUGGUCCUGCCCGUUCCUGUCUGACUUUGGCCUUGGAAGUCUGUGAAGCCGAGACAAUUCAUCCUUCAAAGGGUGGUACCGGAUAUGUUGUCAUUACCAUGGGGAUUACACGAAACAUCCUGAAGUUAGAGCAAUCCAUUUUAAACUGAUGUUUUGUUGAUGGCUGACGUAGCGGACUCAAAACAACGAGCACUUCUGCUUGAUACACAGAUUCUCCGAGGUUCCUGUGGAGCCACAGCACCUCCUGUCUUGGCACUUCAUAGUUGUCUCAUCGAGUCCAAGGCUGCCUCCCAAGGGUCUGGCUGGUAGACCAUGAAGUUGAUUCCUGCCUUAAGCCUGGCUCUGCAAGAAGUUGUCCUAUAUUCUCACCAGUCACAUUUUUGGUACUAGAACGGUGCUUUUUAUAGUGCACUCGUAACUGGACGCUGAAAUCACAGCCUGGCCAUUUGGAUGUUCAACCGAUGCUUUAUGCUGCUGAGUCCUUGGAACUCACUCCCCGUGCCGGAACUCACUGGAGCUCAGGUGUGUGGCACUACCUUGUUUCUCUGCAGCUGGUAUUGCAAACAUUUUUCAUGCAUUUAUUUCCCAUUGUUUACUUUUGAGUUUUUGUUUUGUGAGACAGGGUCUCAGUCUGUCACGCAGGCAGGAGUGUGAUCAUGGCUCACUGCAGCCUUGACCUCCUGGGUUCAAGCAAUCUCGCCUCAGCCUCCCAAAGUGCUGGGAGUACAAGUGUGAGCCACCACACCUGCCCUACUUUUGAGCUUUGAGUUCUUUAUAUAUUCUAGAGAUGAGUCUCUAGAGAUGAGUCCUCGGUCUGAUAGAUGGUUUGUAAACAUUUUUCCCAAUCUGUAGCUUAUCUUUCCAUCUUCUUAAUAGAGUCUUUCAGACAGCAAAAAUAAGAUCUCUCUUGCAAAUACUCUGCCUCUGUAGCAGGAAAGCAGCCAUAGACUACGUAAAUGAACGUCGGUGGAUCCCUUGAGUAAGUGUCAUUCAUGGUAAAGAUAUCUCUAGACAGAUCAGUGCUGAGAGGCUUUUUCAUUCUUAAAUAAUAGUUGAGCUGGGUACACACACUAACCUCAUGCUUAUUUUCUCUUACUCCACUGUCUUCUGCUGUUGCUGGUGGGAGAUCAGUUAUCAACAUGUUCUUCCUUCUUUCCACCCUCUUCCUUAGCUUUUAGGACCUUUUCUUUGUUUUUUCUGCAGUUUAGUUCUGAUGGGUCUUGGUAUGGAUGGAUUUAUUGUAUUGGGGAUCAUGCCUGCUGACUCUAAAGGGUCCUGUGUCUGUUUUCAUUCUGGAAUUUUUUUUUUUUUGAGACGGAGUCUUGCUCUGUUGUUCAGGCUGGAGUGCAGUGGCGCAAUCUCGGCUCACUGCAACCUCCUGGGUUCAAGCGAUUCUCCUGCCUCAGCCUUCAUAGUUGCUGGGAUUACAGGAGCCCGCCACCACACCCGGCUAAUUUUUGUAUUUGUGGUAGAGACAGGGGUUUCGCCAUGUUGGCCAGGCUGGUCUCAAACUCCUGACCUCAGGUGAUCUGCCCAUCUUGGCCUCCCAAAGUGCUGGGAUUACAGGCAUAAGCCACCACACCCGGCAUUUCUUUUAGACAUGUUGGAUCCUCUUAUUUCAUCCUCCCUUUGUCAUAUUUUCCAAUUCAUUAAUUUUCUCUUCUGCUGUUAAGGUUUUAAAUGUCUGAAUGGCAGCCACUAAUUCUGGCAUCUGAAGCUCUUGGAAGCCUACUCCUGUUGUUGCCACUGACUUCUAUGCCCAUUUAGUGGGGCUUUGGCUGUGGGAAUCAUACGCAGCACUGGAUGACGGAGCUCUCACCACAUGGGAUCUGAUGCUGUCUCCAGGUAGCUGGUGUUAGAACUGAAUUAGAGGGACAGCCUGGUAGUGGGAACAACACACAUUUGGUCACAGAAGUCAUCUGCUGUGUUGAUGAUUAUUGUGGUGUGAGAGCAGAGAGAAAACAGGGCUGAGUAUUUUCCCUAAACAGUGGUGUACAUUCAAAUCCCUGAUGAGGCUGGGCGUGGUGGCUCCCGCCUGUCAUUUCAGCACUUUGGGAGGCUGAGGCAGGAGAACUGCUUGAACCCAGGAGGUGGAAGUUGCAGUGAGCCGAGAUUGUGCCACUGCACUCCAGCCUGGGUGACAGAGUGAGACUGUCCCAAAAAAGAAAAAACCUAAUGGCAAAUUUUCAAGAGGCAACUUAAUGUGGCUCUGUGGACACUUAGCUUAGUAGGGGGUAGGGAAUCCAUUUACAGUGAUAUAAAGGAGCACCUGAGGCUGGGUAGUUCAUAAAUGAGAUAAUUGGCUCACAGUUUUACAGGCUGUACAAGCACGCCUCCAGCAUUUGCUUGGCUUCUGGGAGGCCUCAGGAAGCUUACAAUCAUGGCAGGAGGAGAGAGUACAAAGAGAGGAGGUGCCAGGGUCUUUUUUUUUUUUGAGACGGAGUCUCACUCUGUUGCCCAGGCUAGAGUGCAGUGGUGCAGUCUCAGCUCACUGCAAGCUCUGCCUCCUGGGUUCACGCCAUUCUCCUGCCUCAGCCUCCUGAGUAGCUGGGACUACAGGCGCCCGCAACCAUGCCCGGCUAAUUUUUUUUGUAUUUUUAGUAGAGACGGGGUUUCACCGUGUUAGCCAGGAUGGUCUCGAUCUCCUGACCUCGUGAUGCACCCACCUCAGCCUCCCAAAGUGCUGGGAUUACAGGCGUGAGCCACCGUGCCCAGCCUUGCCAGCUUCUUUUUAAACAACCUGCUCUCAUGUGAACUAAUAGAGCAAGAACUCACUCUUCACCAAACGGAGGGCACUAGGCCAUCCAUGAGGCAUGUACCUGCCUCGAGGGGACACACAUCCAAACAGGCAGUCUUAAUAAAUGUUGUGACUCUUA